This 492-nucleotide ribosomal RNA is filed under the name uncultured bacterium. RNAcentral describes it as "partial 16S ribosomal RNA". It matches the Rfam family "Bacterial small subunit ribosomal RNA", at positions 29 to 507 of the family's 1533-position model. The record is from RNAcentral.
AGUGAACGCUGGCGGUAGGCCUAACACAUGCAAGUCGAACGGCAGCACAGUAAGAGCUUGCUCUUACGGGUGGCGAGUGGCGGACGGGUGAGGAAUACAUCGGAAUCUACUUUUUCGUGGGGGAUAACGUAGGGAAACUUACGCUAAUACCGCAUACGACCUACGGGUGAAAGCAGGGGAUCUUCGGACCUUGCGCGAUUGAAUGAGCCGAUGUCGGAUUAGCUAGUUGGCGGGGUAAAGGCCCACCAAGGCGACGAUCCGUAGCUGGUCUGAGAGGAUGAUCAGCCCCACUGGAACUGAGACACGGUCCAGACCCCUACGGGAGGCAGCAGUGGGGAAUAUUGGACAAUGGGCGCAAGCCUGAUCCAGCCAUACCGCGUGGGUUAAGAAGGCCUUCGGGUUGUAAAGCCCUUUUGUUGGGAAAGAAAAGCAGCAGGUUAAUACCCCGCUGUUCUGACGGUACCCAAAGAAUAAGCACCGGCUAACUUCGUG